Molecule: transfer RNA, 74 nt
Filed under: Actinia tenebrosa (Australian red waratah sea anemone)
Lineage: Eukaryota; Metazoa; Cnidaria; Anthozoa; Actiniaria; Actiniidae
Also listed under: 1 other name
Description: tRNA-Ile
Rfam family: tRNA
About the family: Transfer RNA (tRNA) molecules are approximately 80 nucleotides in length. Their secondary structure includes four short double-helical elements and three loops (D, anti-codon, and T loops).
Source: RNAcentral
GCUCCUGUGGCUCAGUCGGUUAGCGCGUCGUACUUAUAAUGCGAAGGUCGGGAGUUCGAUCCUCCCCAGGAGCA